Molecule: ribosomal RNA, 406 nt
Filed under: uncultured bacterium
Lineage: Bacteria
Description: partial 16S ribosomal RNA
Rfam family: Bacterial small subunit ribosomal RNA
Source: RNAcentral
AUUGAACGCUGGCGGCAGGCUUAACACAUGCAAGUCGAGCGAGCGGCGGACGGGUGAGUAAUGUCUGGGAAACUGCCUGAUGGAGGGGGAUAACUACUGGAAACGGUAGCUAAUACCGCAUACCAUCAGAUGUGCCCAGAUGGGAUUAGCUAGUAGGUGGGGUAAUGGCUCACCUAGGCGACGGUCCAUAGCUGGUCUGAGAGGAUGACCGGCCACACUGGAACUGAGACACGGUCCAGACUCCUACGGGAGGCAGCAGUGGGGAAUAUUGGACAAUGGGCGCAAGCCUGAACCAGCCAUGCCGCGUGUGUGAAGAAGGCCUUCGGGUCGUAAAGCACUGGUAGAGAGGAGGCGGUACUCGAAGAAGAAGCACCGGCUAACUCCGUGCCAGCAGCCGCGGUAAUAC